This is a long non-coding RNA of Gasterosteus aculeatus aculeatus (three-spined stickleback), 6401 nucleotides long. NCBI's taxonomy places the organism in Eukaryota, Metazoa, Chordata, Actinopteri, Perciformes, Gasterosteidae. The record is from Ensembl.
GUUGAGGUGGCGGAAGUAGGACCCAAUUGCAGACUGAGAACAAAAAAAUGCUUUAUUCAACCGGAUCAAAAUGCCUAGGGGCAAAACGUGGACCAGGAACACAAGCAACAAAACUCACCGACAACUCAAUGAACCAACAAGGGACACACAUGGUUUAAAUACACUUGGAAGGUGCAGGUGAUUGGACCUGUUGGUUUUUUAUGACAGUAUUGGUUGAUCUCCUCUGCCUUAAGAUUGCAAUAUUACUUUUAGCUGAAAAUGCAUCGCAUAACUGAUUUAUUUUGAAUUUAAAAUAACUGGAUAAUGUUUUUCUCUCUGCCUGAAAUGUGUCAUGCCCUGGAGGUGAAGCAUAUUUUCUUAAAUUAAAUAAGAUUACCUUUAUCUGUAUUUUAUGUUUUUUGGCUUUUACUGUCAAGCGUAGGAGGUUGCGAGGGGCAGUCAGGAAGUCCCCCUGUAGGCCUGACUGUCCCAUUUCAGAGACAGAUUGGUUCAGCCUAUGGUCUACCAGGUCCACCGCAAAGGCUGGGUCCUUCAAGAAUUGGUGUGGAAUAACUUCACUGUGUAGGAAGUGAAGUUUACCCGGGGAUACGAGCGGCAGAAAACUACAUAAUAAAACAGGCCAAACCUACACCGUGACACCUAUGGAGGUAGUUUGGUCAGAAGCAAAAAGUAUUGCGGCCAUUUCUAUUAAAUCCCUAAUAUGUAGAAUGUUGUGUUCUACAUUUUUUUUUACUUUAAAUGCUCCUUUAGAAAACGCUCCUACACAAAUAAUAUAGGCCACAGAGUGCAGCCCCAGUCUUCUACUAAACAAAGAGCUGACUCCUCUCAGGGGCGAGUGCUGAAAUGCUUUGCUCAUUGAAGCAGUCUUCUCUAGAUAUGAAUUAAUCAGAAAUACCUCAACUCACACAACAGAUUCUUUCAAAGCUGGCGGUUGAAAAUAAGUUAACCAGGCAGCUUCAUAUUAAUGCCUGUCUCCAAAUAACUAUUUAAGUAAAUUAUAACUAAUUCUGACACAAAUGGUUUUCAUAACUUUAAUAUGAAAUUACCUAAAAUACUAUUUUGUUUUGGCAGCAGAUGUAAAAAAGCUAAACUAUGUUUUCUGACUUGCUUUUGUUACAUGAGUAAUGACUCAUUGACAGGAUGUACAUAAGAUGGUCUGCAUUAGAACAGUACAAACAAUAACUCUUCAUUACAUAUACAAACUGUUUACGUUGCAUACUGAUUUAUGAUCCCCAAAAUAUUUUCACAAAAUCCCUCCUAUCAAGACCUACAUCAAACAGGUCAUACGAUUAACUUCUCAAUGCUUCCUGAUAAACAAAAUACUGAAUGCAAUGCGAAUUACCCAAUGAACGUGUCUGGCAUUACUGCAUUGCUACUUUCUACUGCAUUAUAUUGUGCAGAGUAGCAGGACAUAUUCAGUGUACAGCAUGCAAGAUUACUAUCGGUGCCAACUCAAGUGAUAAAUUAAUAUUUACUGUCGCAAUAAUAAAGGUUAGUUUGAAAUUAAUCCUUAUCAUCAGGAUGGCCUGACCACUAAGAAGACUGACAAAAUAUCGAAGCCAUUAGAAACCUUUAAAGACAAACAUGAAUGGGUGAUGCUGUUAAUGUAAAAUAGGUGGGUGGCUUUUAUAUCACCUCGUAAGCUUAACAUGUAUUAACUCAUUUUCGAAAGCAAGCAACACGCUGUUGACUGGUAAAAUUGAAAUUCUAUCUGCUCGGACUGAAAUGCUAGGUGCACACUCUCACUUAGUGAUCACAUCAGGCCAUGGCUAGCUGUGUUUUACAUUAUCUAUGCAGCAUGGGUUUCCUUUUCAGGCUCCAAUUACUCCACGUGCCAUGUGUGCCGAGCCACAUUUUACUUCAUUACUAAUGGAGGUGUUUCAGAGUGUCUGACAGUAAAUACUGCACACGAUGAAAGCGUAAUUGCCGAAGCUCCCGCAAUGUGGUGUUGUGACAACAUCAGCUCUGAUGCUGGAUGAGAGGAAUCACUUGUGUGUUCAAAAUGCCAUUCAAACUUGGUCAAUCAAUCGUAGCAGCCAUUUAAAUCUUAAUGACAACCGUUACAUUGUUGGUGGACAAGUGGCGCUGUGUCGAACUGUUUAUUCUCCAGGUGUUUAAUUGCUGACAAGGACAAGCACCUUCCAGCAAAGCAACAACAGAGCAAGAGACAUUGAAAGCUAUUCUUUCAGCUGAGGAAUCAGUCAAUUAAAAACAAUCCAUCUGGCAGUGAGAUAUACAGUAUGUCUUGCAUGGAAACCAUGCACAUAAAGAUCAUUUUCAUACGUCACAUCAGGGGUGUGAGUACAGUUUUAUUCUGAUGAAAAGCAGAAAGGCGGCUGCUCCUUGAGAAUUACACAGCCAUACAGUGUGUCUGAGCCAAUUGAUUUGGGAAGUCCCAACAACACAACAAAAGCUCACAUUAAAGGUAAUUUCAUAAUGGAAGCAACCCAGCCUUACUUUCGGGCAGUGAUUUGUGACGAGUGUCCGCACCUUUGACUGUAAGCCGCAGUUGUCUUUCAGAAGGGAUGAUGGCUGAACAAGAGAAAUGCUUUAUCCUCACCCUCUAAAAAGACAGAUAUAUUUAUCUUUCGUACCAUUAACUACCUCUAUACACCCCCACUCUCCCCUCACUUAACAUCGUACACCCUCUUACUGACCACUUUUUGUAACACCUCUUUCAGGUCAAUUCUUUGUAUCUCCUACCUUUUCUCACCUUCCUCUUGACUUCUUGUAAAAAAUGUCCACUCAGUCUGUUCCCACGAUUGUCUCAUCUUCACGUCUUGGGUCUGUCCGACUUAUUUUUUACUUAUUUUUCCUGUACUUCAUUACGUCUAUACUUUUGGUCAACCGUAUAACUGUGACUUAGUCUGUAAUUGUCAGACUGGAGAUACCAUUACAUGUUGUUUUUAUCCAAAGCGACUUAUAAGUAUACAAUAAGUGCAUUCAACCAUAGGGAUACAAACUCAGAAGAACAAGAAACAAGUGCAAUUUCCUCAAAUAAGCCAAUUUACAAUACCAUGUGGAAGCUGAACAUCAGCUCCAUCAUUAAGAAGGCUCAGCAGAGGCUGUUCUUCCUGAAGCAGCUGAAGAAAUUCAACCUGAAAAAAAAAUGAUGGUACACUGGUACACACUCCUGCAGCAUCAGCAUCAGCAUCAUCCUCAUCGUCUGGUACGCUGCAGCCACAGCCAAGGACAAGGGCAGGCUGCAGCGUGUCAUCCGCUCUGCAGAGAGGGUGAUUGGCUCCAAUCUGCUGUCUCUCCAGGACUUGUUUGCUUCCAGGACUCUGAAGCGAGCAAGAAGGAUUGCAGCAGACCCCUCUCACCCUGGAAAAAAACUGUUGGUGUCACGGUGUGGGUUUCUGUUUUGUUUUAUUUUGUACCGAUCCUGCCUCUGCCUCCUCCUUCCCUGGUUUAGCUCCACACCCUGACCUGCCCUGCGAUGGUCUGCGUGUCCCUGAUUGUUUCCACCUGUGUCCAUUCACCUGUACCUUCCCAAUGUAUUUAAGCCCUGUGUGUCUCCUGUCCCUUGUCGCGUCAUUGAAUGUCGUCACCUUGUUCGUGAGUUCCAGAGCCCUGUCGGUGGUUUAUUAAAAGUACUUUUUGUUUGCAAUUCUGCACUUGAGUCCUGCUUCGGACUACCCCACCCUGCGUUGUGACAGUUGGUGUGCCUUCCAUCUGGCAGGAGGCUGAGGUCCAUCAGGAUGAAGUCCUUACGCCAAUCAGAGCACACUGACACGGCCACCCAUGUACUAUAUGUAGAGAGAGUAAUUGUCAACGGUGUAUCAGCUUCAAUGCUUCCAGCCUCUUUAUUAAUGAAGGAGGGGUGUUUGGAACCUGAUUACUUGUGUUUAAUCCCCCUUAUGGCACAGAAAACACAACAACUUGCCUUGUUUUGCAUAGGAUGGAAGGAAAUAGAUAUAGCAGUGCUUUCUCCGGGACAUGAUUACAACAAUCAGCCUAUGCAAUAGGAAGCAACACACACAACGGCAACCCUGUGCUCACAACAGACACAACAAUGGGUUAACUUUGUCUUUGUAAGAAAAUACUGUCGAGGGAAGAGAGGAGAAAGGGAAGAAGGGGCAGGAAGAACGUUCAAUGGAUUCGUUGUAGCAUUUGAAAGGGACACACAGGGAACACACACAGCAGCAGGGCUUUGGAGUGCUCACAUGCCUUGAUUAGGAAGAGAGAGUUUAACAUCCCCUGAUGCACAUGUUGCUAUGAUACUCGCACCACGCAGGAGAUGCCUGGGCAAAGAGUGCGUAGAUGUGCUUAUACAUUUCUGCAAUUUUUCAGGUUGUGCCCGAGUAUAUGUGCGCGUGCCCAACUCAUGUGGGUGGAAUGUUGCACGUCAACGAGUGUGAUGUGUACGUUCAUGGGCCAGACUGCGGGCACAAUUGGAUUGACAGAGUCAACUGGUGUGUUCCUAAAGAGCUCCCCUGAUGCCCUCUCCUCCCUCCUGCACCUCUGCCUUGCUUAUGUUUUUCCUAUUCCCUCCCACCUCCUUCUGUUGUGAUCCUGAUCAGGAGAGAAGGUCCUUCUAAGGAGCUUCAGUAUGUGGUCGCAGGGAAACUUCCUCCUGUGGAAACAGAAAUGAGAAAGGCAUGAGACUUCAACUUACAGAUUUCCAAUGUUUGUUGAGAUAUUAUUUACAUGUAAUAUACCAAGCUACAUCAAGGGAAAACUCUGGUUCAUCACAAGUCGGAUAACAUUUUUUUUUAACCACUCAUAUCCCGGUUAGGGCGGGGCUACCAUCUGAUUGACAGAUCGGUACCAUGGAAUGCUUGAGUCAAUUAUCUUUGACUUUUUAACUUCCUCCACCUAUUAAAUGUUUUAAACUGUGCAAAACUAUUCAACAGCACACAGGUGACCAAUUAAUGCCUAAGUGGGUGUGAAUGUCUGACUGAUUUUGAAAAAUAUAUAAAUUGUCCAACACUUAAGCUUUUGAAAACUAGCAUUCUUGCCUCAACAACCGUAUUUGAUCGACUUUCCCUUCUUGUAGUUUGAGGUGAGAAUGCUUUCAGUUUGAUUAGGUAUACAAACAACAAAACCAACUGGAAAUCUGUUUGAGUGGAUUGUUCACGGUGCUAUGAGUUAUAAAAUGCUGUGAUAUCCGUAUGUGGCAAAUAUAUGGAUCCAAACGCUGAACAAAAACACAUUUACCCGAUUUAGCUGCUGAUCAUCACCAUGCGUCCCCCGUCCCAUGAAAACUAGUUAGACGAGUGCAGUCCCAGUGUAAAUGUCUUGCUUACACGCUGCUGUACCCACUUCAUGAUUAAAGGAAACAAGGGUGUAUUUGUGCGGCCUGCUGUGUGAGUUUGUGUGCGGGUAUGUGAACAAAGAUGUAUUUUUCUCUGUACCACCAAAAUAGCUGUGCAUUAUCCUAGUUGUAUCUCCAGGGAGUAGGGUAAGCAUGUUGAGAGGCACUUGUGCGUUACGAUAAAUUGCAUGAUAUGUUUGGGUGGUGAUUUAAAAAAUACUGUUGAAUGUGCGUGAACUAAACUCGCAUUUCCUUCACUGAAACGUGUAAGCUUCCUUUACGAGGCCCUUGUUACUCUCUGUCCCACCAUGCUGAUAAGGACACUGUCACAUUGGAGGUGGAGCUGUGGGAGGCCUGUUAGCCACUCAGCAUGGGUUUGAUGUUCAAGGCCCAUAAAGAUGGUUUAUUGAGACUGAAAAUGAAAUUCCUUCACUCUUGCAGGUGUAUCAGGGCCUGCCAGUUCCUUCCAAUUGAGUGUCAGGUUUCUCUCAGCGCUUGUUUGCUUCGUAGGAUUUUAGUUUGACACUAUUCCCUGCAUCUCUUUCGCUCUCUUACUGUGAUAACCUUUUCCCAUUUAGUCUUGUCCUGAUCCCUGACUUGUUCAUUUUUGGAGGGUCUGCCAAAUAGUCUCAAGCUCUAACACCAAACCCUCAAAAUCUGUCUGCACAGCCCCCCUCAUGUGUUACUAAGAGUGGGGGAGCUCUACCACAGCGUGCUUUGUCAUUUACAACAGUGACUCUCUCACAAGUUCCAAUGGAAACAAACAGCUGAGACAUGGAUACACCUCUCCAGCAAAUCAAAAUAAGUACAAGGAUUGUAUGCACCAUCUUGUGCGUAGGUCCAAGAUGGCGCCGAUGAUGGCUGCCACGGCGCUUCGGUGCGCUUCGUUUUUUGUUGUUUUUGUGCUGCUAUCUUUCGUGGAAUUACUGGACAUUAUAGUCAAAGGUGCGCUCACCUUUUGUCACCCGGUGAGACGUAUGAGAGGAAAACGGGCCGGCUCGGUGGUGCCCUCUCACCCCAGACAAAAACUGUUUGUGCCCCUUCCAUCUGGCAGGAGGCUGAGAUCCAUCAAGACUAAGACCUCCCGCCACACAAACAGUUUCUUCCCAUCGGCAGUCGGGCUCAUCAACAGAGCCGGUCCCCC